Molecule: small RNA, 422 nt
Filed under: Histoplasma ohiense
Lineage: Eukaryota; Fungi; Ascomycota; Eurotiomycetes; Onygenales; Ajellomycetaceae
Description: hypothetical lncRNA
Source: RNAcentral
UAGGCUUCUUUAUUCCAUUGAUAAUCACCCAUUCAUACAGCCUGAAUGAGAUCUCAGGCUCAGAGGUAGAUGUUCACAGAAAUUGAGGAUCUUCUGACUGUGUCUUCUUCUUCUCCUUCUUCUUAUCCUCCUUCUCAUCAUCAGUUGGAUUCUUGUCAUUAUCCGAAACAUCCGGAACAGGCGGUUUGGGCAGACGAAGGUGAAGGGUAGUUGGAGUCCCUUUAUGAGCUUGUGAGGCAGUAGAACGGUGGGUGUUGCGGGGCAUAUUGGUGUAUUUGAUGAUAAAGGUGCGUAUUUGAUGAUAAAGGUGUGUAUUUGAUGAUAAAGGUGCGUAUUUGGAUGAAUUGGAUGAUAUUUGAAUGAUUCUAGAGAUAUGUGGAUAUUUUGGUUAUUUUUGCGGUGUUUUGCUAUUAUUUUUCAGG